CCGAGUUAGGGUGUCCCAACUCAUGGGCGCCCAACCUCCAACCCUUUGUCUACCUAACCUUAUGUUGCUUCGGCAGGCCCGCCGCGCGGCGUCCUUUUCACCGCCGGCCGCCGGGGGUCUCGCGACCCCGGGCCAGUGCCUGCCGAUGGCCCUCCUAAACUCUUGCUAAAACGUGUCGUCUGAGUUUAACCAAAAGAAUAACCAUA
This 206-nucleotide unclassified non-coding RNA is filed under the name uncultured Chaetothyriales. Its description in RNAcentral is "sequence contains ITS1". The record is from RNAcentral. Lineage: Eukaryota; Fungi; Ascomycota; Eurotiomycetes; Chaetothyriales.